UACGUAGGUGGCAAGCGUUAUCCGGAUUUACUGGGUGUAAAGGGCGUGUAGGCGGGGAAGCAAGUCAGAUGUGAAAACCACGGGCUCAACCUGUGGCCUGCAUUUGAAACUGUUUUUCUUGAGUGCUGGAGAGGCAACCGGAAUUCCGUGUGUAGCGGUGAAAUGCGUAGAUAUACGGAGGAACACCAGUGGCGAAGGCGGAUUGCUGGACAGUAACUGACGCUGAGGCGCGAAAGCGUGGGGAGCAAACAGG
RNAcentral lists this ribosomal RNA (253 nucleotides) under uncultured bacterium. Its description in RNAcentral is "partial 16S ribosomal RNA". It matches the Rfam family "Bacterial small subunit ribosomal RNA", at positions 524 to 776 of the family's 1533-position model. The record is from RNAcentral.